AAAGCUCUUCUUAGAUCUCUAGACGCGUGGGAUGUGACCCAUGAUGGGUUUGAAGAACCAACAGAAGUUGGGGGAUAUACGGCAGCUCAAACGAAGGCGUUGAAAGAGACGCGAUCGAAGGACAAAACGGCAUUAUACAUGUUGUUCAGGGCUGUAGAUGAAUCAGGCUUCGAAAAAAUUGCUGGUUCGACUACGUCGAAACAAGCGUGGGACACGUUAGAAAAAGUGUUCAAAGGAGCAGAUCGAGUGAAGCAAGUUCGACUCCAAACUAUUCGUGGCGAAUUGGAGAGGAUACAGAUGAAGGAUACAGAAAUUGUAUCUGACUACAUCACACGUGUGCAAAAGGUGGUGAAUCAACUCACCAGAAAUGGAGAGACAGUACCUGAUGCACGAGUUGUUGAAAAGAUCUUGAGAUCUUUAACAGACAGGUUUGAAAAUAUUGUAUGUGCAAUAGAAGAGUCGAAGGAUCUUUCGACGCUCUCAGUCGAAGAGCUCGCUGGUUCUCUCGAAGCACAUGAACAACGAAAGAUGAAAAAGAAAGAAGAAGCAGUCGAAGAAGCAAACCAA
Molecule: non-coding RNA, 567 nt
Organism: Vicia faba (fava bean)
Lineage: Eukaryota; Viridiplantae; Streptophyta; Magnoliopsida; Fabales; Fabaceae
Source: the annotation of a GenBank genome assembly